RNAcentral lists this long non-coding RNA (1619 nucleotides) under Numida meleagris (helmeted guineafowl). RNAcentral's name for it is "lncRNA (ENSNMEG00000014681.1)". The record is from RNAcentral. Lineage: Eukaryota; Metazoa; Chordata; Aves; Galliformes; Numididae.
GGAACAUCUAGAGGGCAACUCAAGCUAGCCCGAAAUCAUUCCAGUGGAAUGAAAAAUGGAGAAUUAGCUCUGACGGUCUCUGGAGGAACUUGAGAAGUGUGGAGGUUGGAAAUGAAUCAGUUAUGCAUCAGCCACAUUUUAUACUCUUGUCCUGAGACUAAAGCAGUUAUGGUCUGGGCUCCUGGUUCCAGAACUACAGUGAUGUGUUCCAAGUCUACAAUGGAGACAUCUUGGGAAUACUUACAAAGAACUCAGUCCAAACCUCACCCCACCGCACACAUCCACAGUGGCAUGAGGGAAAAGGUGAAGGAGCUUUGCCUGUGGGAAAUGGGAAGCAGAGUCCGUGUCGACAGGGAUGUAGCAUGCCAGCUUCCAAAGCAGCAUCCAUUUCACUCUCCUGAAGGCUUCCGGAAAAUUUUGCCACAUAAGCUUUAUUGUGUAUGAUCCCAUUCAAGGUGUAAAGUAAAUAUAUAAUUAAUAAGUGUAACUAAUCAGCAGAAUACUGUUUUGAGUCUUGGGAAUGAAAUUUUCUUCUCUCUAUCUCACUGUUUAGUUUAUGCAUCAUGCUGUAUCACCCAGGCACUCCUCUGAAGGAGCAGGGCUGCAUGUGUCAAAGAGCAGGCUCAGCCUCAGCAAGGGGGCAAGAAUCAGGCUGCUGUGAGUUCACUCCAGUCACAGCCAGUUAGUCCCUGUUAAAUCAUCUCUAACUAUGGAGACAAUGAGGAAUUCUGUGGGAGAAAAACUUUCAGCUGUGCCUCAAUUCCUGCAGAGAGCAGGAUUUAAUGCUUUCAGUUGGAAGGUCACCCACGUAUUUUCCCGAGUGCAUACAUCAGCUGGUUUGGAAGACAGCACUUUACUAAUUGUUAGUGAUUGUCCUCCUUGCAGGACUAGCUGUUAUAUAGAGCUCAGCUUGUUCUUCAGUUUGAUCUGAUUAGUUCACAUUCAUUCUAUGUCCUACUCACCAGCGUGUCAACUUAGAGCACUGAUUCAUUUAAGUCAAAAUUGGUCAUCAUAUUUAUUUAACUACUAAGUUAUUUUCCAUAGUAAAUCCAUAAUACUUGGCUAGUAUUGGCAGAAAAUUUGUUAACCUAAUUGAAAGUGACACACAUUUUAGGCUUACAGUCUUAGUAGGAAUGUAUAAUAUGUUAAGGAGUAAGGUCUUUAAGGAAAUUAUUGACCUGGAUCACACUCGUUCCUAUACUGUAACUUCCUAUCUAUCAAAUGAAAACAUCAAAAACAAACACACCCACAGUUCAGAGCUACUAGUCCAGGCAAACUACAACUAACUUCUUUUAACAUGGAUAAGAAAAAAUGUUUUAAUAUUUUAUGUCAACAUUUCCCAUAGGCUGCUUCUUCCUGUAUUUAAUAUAUAUGAAUGGCGUUUUCCCUCUUGUUUCUCUUGGAGUGCUGAACUUUACUGUCACUUCCACAAAGAAAGGUUAUUUUUAUUUAUUGAGUACUUUAUAUAGAAACAGGAUAUUUAUACUUGUAUAUAUCUAUAUCUUAUAUCUAAGAUAUAUAAGCUCUAUAAUAAUAUCUACUCUAUAUAUAAUCUUAUGUCAUACAUAUCUUACGUCUUUAUCUGCAGGAAUAAAAUAUGCAUGCCACAUAUGACUACA